CCUACGGGGGGCAGCAGUGGGGAAUAUUGGACAAUGGGGGCAACCCUGAUCCAGCCAUGCCGCGUAUGUGAAGAAGGCCCUCGGGUUGUAAAGCACUUUCAGUGAGGAAGAACGCCUGGUGGUUAAUACCCAUCAGGAAAGACAUCACUCACAGAAGAAGCACCGGCUAACUCCGUGCCAGCAGCCGCGGUAAUACGGAGGGUGCGAGCGUUAAUCGGAAUUACUGGGCGUAAAGCGCGCGUAGGUGGCUUGAUAAGCCGGUUGUGAAAGCCCCGGGCUCAACCUGGGAACGGCAUCCGGAACUGUCAAGCUAGAGUGCAGGAGAGGAAGGUAGAAUUCCCGGUGUAGCGGUGAAAUGCGUAGAGAUCGGGAGGAAUACCAGUGGCGAAGGCGGCCUUCUGGACUGACACUGACACUGAGGUGCGAAAGCGUGGGUAGCAAACAGGAUUAGAUACCCGAGUAGUC
Molecule: ribosomal RNA, 465 nt
Filed under: Vreelandella stevensii
Lineage: Bacteria; Pseudomonadati; Pseudomonadota; Gammaproteobacteria; Oceanospirillales; Halomonadaceae
Description: partial 16S ribosomal RNA
Rfam family: Bacterial small subunit ribosomal RNA
Source: RNAcentral